RNAcentral lists this ribosomal RNA (690 nucleotides) under uncultured bacterium. RNAcentral describes it as "bacterial SSU rRNA". It matches the Rfam family "Bacterial small subunit ribosomal RNA", at positions 8 to 682 of the family's 1533-position model. The record is from RNAcentral.
AGAGUUUGAUCCUGGCUCAGGAUGAACGCUGGCGGCAUGCCUAAUACAUGCAAGUCGAACGAGAGGAAGGAAAGCUUGCUUUUCUGAAUCUAGUGGCGUACGGGUGAGUAACACGUAGGUAACCUGCCCAUGUGCCCGGGAUAACUUCUGGAAACGGAUGCUAAAACCGGAUAGGUAGCAGACAAGCAUUUGACUGCUAUUAAAGUGGCUAAGGCCAUGAACAUGGAUGGACCUGCGGUGCAUUAGCUAGUUGGUGAGGUAACGGCCCACCAAGGCGACGAUGCAUAGCCGGCCUGAGAGGGCGGACGGCCACAUUGGGACUGAGACACGGCCCAAACUCCUACGGGAGGCAGCAGUAGGGAAUUUUCGUCAAUGGGGGGAACCCUGAACGAGCAAUGCCGCGUGAGUGAAGAAGGUCUUCGGAUCGUAAAGCUCUGUUGUAAGAGAAAAACGACAUUCAUAGGGAAUGAUGAGUGAAUGAUGGUAUCUUACCAGAAAGUCACGGCUAACUACGUGCCAGCAGCCGCGGUAAUACGUAGGUGGCGAGCGUUAUCCGGAAUGAUUGGGCGUAAAGGGUGCGUAGGUGGCAGAACAAGUCUGGAGUAAAAGGUAUGGGCUCAACCCGUACUGGCUCUGGAAACUGUUCAGCUAGAGAACAGAAGAGGACGGCGGAACUCCAUGUGUAGCGGU